This 70-nucleotide transfer RNA is filed under the name Aclerda takahashii. RNAcentral's name for it is "tRNA-Lys". Lineage: Eukaryota; Metazoa; Arthropoda; Insecta; Hemiptera; Aclerdidae. The record is from RNAcentral.
AAUUUAGGUACCUUAAACUAAGUAUUAGUCUUUUAAAUUAAUCAAAGAAAUAUAAAAUUCUCCUAAAUUU